Long non-coding RNA from Mercenaria mercenaria, 390 nucleotides. RefSeq lists it as uncharacterized. Lineage: Eukaryota; Metazoa; Mollusca; Bivalvia; Venerida; Veneridae. The transcript is spliced from 3 exons. The record is from RefSeq and is a predicted model, not a curated record.
UGAUGUGAGUUUGUGAUUAACAAGUUUAAGAAUGGUAUGUUGCAGAAAUUCUGGCAGAUGCGAAUGUAAGCUUGAUGGCAUCAUUUUCAUAUAACUGCUUGAAAUGCAUAUAUACCACUAUCAGCAUUGAGCGUCUCGUGAACUGUCAAAUGUCAUAUAGGCCUCACACAGUUGAAAAUAGUGAAAAAAGUAAUCGGUUGACAGGUCUGCAUCUCGUAAGAUAUCGGAAGACGUCUGACUUGGCCACAUCGCUCUGAAGUCCUAAGUACUAGAAAAAACCGCCAUCUGCUACCUUAAAGACAUUUGUCAAUUUUUGUCUGCAUCUCGUAAGAUAUCGGAAGACGUCUGACUUGGCCACAUCGCUCGAAGUCCGAAGUACUAGAAAAAACC